AUCCUAGCUUGCUAGGAGGCGUCGAGCGGCGGACGGGUGAGUAACACGUGAGAAUCUGCCCAUUAGUGGGGGAUAACCUGGGGAAACCCAGGCUAAUACCGCAUAAUCUCUACGGAGGAAAGCAGGGGAUCUUCGGACCUUGUGCUGAUGGAUGAGCUCGCGUCGGAUUAGCUUGUUGGUGAGGUAAUGGCUCACCAAGGCGACUAUCCGUAGCUGGUCUUAGAGGAUGAUCAGCCACACCGGGACUGAGACACGGCCCGGACUCCUACGGGAGGCAGCAGUGGGGAAUCUUGGACAAUGGGGGCAACCCUGAUCCAGCCAUGCCGCGUGUGUGAAGAAGGCCUUCGGGUUGUAAAGCACUUUCAGUAGGGAGGAAGGCUUAUCCUUAAUACGGAUGAGUACUUGACGUUACCUACAGAAGAAGCACCGGCUAAUUUCGU
Molecule: ribosomal RNA, 440 nt
Filed under: Alcanivorax sp. UW-13-2
Lineage: Bacteria; Pseudomonadati; Pseudomonadota; Gammaproteobacteria; Oceanospirillales; Alcanivoracaceae
Description: bacterial SSU rRNA
Rfam family: Bacterial small subunit ribosomal RNA
Source: RNAcentral